GUGGAGGCCCAUGAGGACAGACUGGUGAUGCUGCAUCGAGAGUGUGGAAAAGUUGAAAACUGCUACAGAUGCUCUAGAAUUAAAACUCAAAUACAUUACAGAGCUCCAACUUGAGCAGGAGGGGAAGAUCUCUUAUAUCCAGGACAAAACCAAGACUC
Protopterus annectens (West African lungfish) is the source of this 158-nucleotide long non-coding RNA. RefSeq lists it as uncharacterized. NCBI's taxonomy places the organism in Eukaryota, Metazoa, Chordata, Ceratodontiformes, Protopteridae. The transcript has 4 exons. The record is from RefSeq and is a predicted model, not a curated record.